Non-coding RNA from Podarcis lilfordi (Lilford's wall lizard), 75 nucleotides. NCBI's taxonomy places the organism in Eukaryota, Metazoa, Chordata, Lepidosauria, Squamata, Lacertidae. The record is from the annotation of a GenBank genome assembly.
UUCAUGUAGCUCAGUUGGUAGAGCAUGAGACUCCUGAUCUUGGGAUUGUGGAUUUGAGCCCCACAUUGGGCAAAA